CAGCCCUAAACGAUGCGCGUUAGGUGUAUCGGUGACCACGAGUCACCGAGGUGCCGAAGGGAAACCGUGAAACGUGCCGCCUGGGAAGUACGGUCGCAAGGCUGAAACUUAAAGGAAUUGGCGGGGGGAGCACCACAACGGGUGGAGCCUGCGGUUUAAUUGGACUCAACGCCGGGAAGCUUACCGGAUAAGACAGCGGAAUGAUUGCCGGGCUGAAGACUCUGCAUGACCAGCUGAGAGGAGGUGCAUGGCGUAGUCGUGU
Molecule: ribosomal RNA, 262 nt
Filed under: uncultured archaeon
Lineage: Archaea
Description: partial 16S ribosomal RNA
Rfam family: Archaeal small subunit ribosomal RNA
Source: RNAcentral